RNAcentral lists this ribosomal RNA (582 nucleotides) under Aspergillus ochraceopetaliformis. RNAcentral's name for it is "eukaryotic LSU rRNA". The stretch from base 209 to 362 matches the Rfam family "5.8S ribosomal RNA". Lineage: Eukaryota; Fungi; Ascomycota; Eurotiomycetes; Eurotiales; Aspergillaceae. The record is from RNAcentral.
CCUGCGGAAGGAUCAUUACUGAGUGAGGGUUCCUUCGGGGCCCAACCUCCCACCCUUGUAUACUGUACCAAGUUGCUUCGGCGGGCCCGCCGUUCGCGCGGCCGCCGGGGGGGAACCCCUCCCCCCGGGCGAGCGCCCGCCGGAGACCCCAACGUGAACACUGUCUGAAGUUUUGUCGUCUGAGUUCGAUUGUAUCGCAAUCAGUUAAAACUUUCAACAAUGGAUCUCUUGGUUCCGGCAUCGAUGAAGAACGCAGCGAAAUGCGAUAAUUAAUGUGAAUUGCAGAAUUCAGUGAAUCAUCGAGUCUUUGAACGCACAUUGCACCCCCUGGUAUUCCGGGGGGUAUGCCUGUCCGAGCGUCAUUGCUGCCCUCAAGCCCGGCUUGUGUGUUGGGUCCUCGUCCCCCCCGGGGGACGGGCCCGAAAGGCAGCGGCGGCACCGCGUCCGGUCCUCGAGCGUAUGGGGCUUUGUCACACCGCUCUCGUAGGCCCGGCCGGCGCUGGCCGACGCUGAAAAGCAACCAUUAUUUCUCCAGGUUGACCUCGGAUCAGGUAGGGAUACCCGCUGAACUUAAGCAUAUCA